RNAcentral lists this transfer RNA (58 nucleotides) under Neotoma lepida (desert woodrat). It matches the Rfam family "tRNA", at positions 8 to 63 of the family's 71-position model. Rfam says of the family: Transfer RNA (tRNA) molecules are approximately 80 nucleotides in length. The record is from Rfam by way of RNAcentral. RNAcentral also lists the same sequence under 1 other name. Lineage: Eukaryota; Metazoa; Chordata; Mammalia; Rodentia; Cricetidae.
UGGCUCAGCAGUUAAGAGCACUGGCUGUUCUCCCAGAGGACCUGGGUUCAAUUCCCAG